Molecule: long non-coding RNA, 4239 nt
Organism: Exaiptasia diaphana
Lineage: Eukaryota; Metazoa; Cnidaria; Anthozoa; Actiniaria; Aiptasiidae
Exons: 3
Source: RefSeq, a predicted model, not a curated record
UAGCCAGCGGUCUUUACAUGUAAAAUCGGACCACGUGAUAACUUUGGACCGAAAUAAAGAGCGGGAAGAAAGUUACAGUAAACUGAAAUACUUCGGCGYUGACUUCCAUGUGUCCUGGUGGAAUGUGGAGGUACUUUUUAUUGUAUAUUUUUAAUACUGUACUAUAUCAAUAACAGUACAUAGCAUAACAUAAUUAUAACAAAUUGUCUUUCGCCUCGCUUUAAUCGAUGGACKUGUUAUGAGGAUGGUGAGAUCUGAAAACUUGAGGUCCUAUUUUCCCUAUUACUCGUGGUCUGCAGUAAGCUUAAAAUUGGCUGAAGCCACUGUACUACAUUCGACAGUCGAGUGCCUAACAAUGCGCUUAAAGACCUAAAACAGGAAAAAAAAAAACGAAAGAAGACAAUAAUUACUAUGAGACCACUGCUGAGAAGGUCAGGUUUUCUUGGAGAUUCUCUAUUGUUCAUAAGUUAACUCAUCAUGCCGUAGAAUUAUACAAAAAACAUGCCUACAUAUAUAAGCUUAACUUAUAUCAAAUAGAAGACACARAAAGGUAUACACAGGAAUAUCUAAAAAAGCCAAAAGUAAAAUAUUCGUUCACAAACAGAAGAGAUUUUGCUCUUGAGUAUUAAUUAAAAUACAAAAGAAAGGUUCAGCUUGAGGUCUUCUGUCUUUCCAGAGCUUUGAUUUCUUCACUCCUCCCUACUAAAACAACGCUUUUUUAUAGCAUCAACAAAAACAGUAAAGAAGAGUACAAAAAUCCAAACCUCAAGAACCAGGUGAGUGACCCCAUCGUGCAAAUGGCCUGCUGAUCAGUUUUUAUUUCAUGUGUAAAGGACUAACCAUGGUUGCUGAUCAGAAUGUGAUUGAUGUUCUCUGUCCUUAUACAGUAAGCGGCAUUUAUACAAGCAAUUUUUCCUUGACAAGGAAAAAUUGCUCGUGUAAAUGGGGUAAAAUGGACAAUUUUCCUUGUCAGGGAAAAGCCAACAAGUUCGCUUUCCCUCGACAAGGAAAAAUUGUCAAGGACGAAAUUUGCUUGUGUAAAUGGACAAGGAAAAUGUGGCAAGAAAGAAUUGACAAGGGAAACUUGUUGACCAUUCACACGGGCAAUUUUUCCUUGUCAAGAAACUUGUCAAGGAAAAAAUGCUUGUGUAAACGCUGCUUUAGAUUUGCUUGAAAUCGAUAAGCACUACAUGCAAUAUUCUUGGGUGAUCAGAUAAAAAAUGAUGCCCAGAAAUGGAAAAAGAAGGUCAGAAUCAAAAGAAAAUGGGGUUUCAAUUUACAUAUCCCUUAAUAUUUAUACAUAUUUAUUAUUAUUGCUAUUUCAACAAAAACAAAUCUGAGCUAUCUAAAAAAUCAAAAAUAUAUCUGCUUUGUACUUUAAGUGAGAUUUAUUGUAUCUUUAUUAAAGGGACAUUUGUCAUUUUGAAAAGCUGUUAAAUUGUAAAAACUCUUUGUCUCACUGUUACAACCCAGGGACCAGAUAUGGUCUGAUGACAUCAUAGAACACAGAAAUUCUUAUGAAACAAGUUAAUAAAACAGAUAAUGUGUCUUGUAGGACAGAAAACUAGAAUGAGACAGCUUCCAAAUGCAUUAAUAACAAAAUUAAAAAAAACUUGAAAAAAAUGAAAAGAAAUCAGUUCACACAGGGGCAGAUCACACACGCACGCACAAAAAUGAAAACACAUUAAUUUUUAUCAACAUGUGAAGCAUCAACAUGGGCAGCCUUCUGGGGUUGGUGUGUGGGUCCCUUUGUGUCUUGAACAGGGUAAUAUAUUUCACCUUCAGUUGUCUUUAAAUAGGRGUGUCCUACUAUAAAAUCAAAAGGACAAAAAAAAUGUCCUAAUUAGAGGAAACCAAAAUGGGAUCCCCUUGAAAAAUCCUUCAAAUUCUGGACAAGCCRCUGCAACAGAUACACUAUAUUGUAUAAAGUCGAUUGACAAAAGGUUGUCGUCAACCGGACUUUGUCGCACGCGACCCACCCGAACAGCUUUCUGGGUAAAAAUCAAUGAACUGGCAUUCUAGUAUAGUGUCAAUUUGUUUCGGUUUUUAUUCUCUUGUUUAAGAACUCAAAGUCAAAUAUUGACCGUUUUAUUCCACACCAUGAUGGAAACAAUGUGAGAUGCAAAUAUCGACACACAAAUUCAUGGGCUUUGGAAAUUUUUGUCACACAUUUUGUUGGUUUUUUUUCAAUCACAAAGACGUUCAAAUCUCUAAUUUGCCCGGUCAUUGACUUUUACCCAGAAACCAGUUUGGGCUGAUUGCAUUUCGUGAAACCCUGUUGACGACAACCUUUUGUCAAUCGACUAUAUAUUGGGAGAUAGUUUCCAUGUCAGAUAGGGGUUUAAGCUUUACAAAAUGUCUGAAAUAGGCAGACAUAGCUUUUUAGAACAAGUCUUCUCAGCCCUAAUCACUCCUCUUCUUACAAACAGUUUUUUCACUUUUGCAGCCAUYAAAAGUCUUCAUGAUUAAUUUUUGCGUAUUUUAGAAGGCAAAACAACAAUUUUUACUCUCUCUAUCCUGGAAUGCGUAUAGAUGUCAAUCAUUGGGACCAAAUUGUAACUGUAAACUUUUGGUACAAAUAUCUUGCAACAAACAUACUCAGAGAUCCAGGUUAAAGAAAAAACAUGUGUAGAUUUACAUUUAAAGUAUUCAUCUGAUAUCCGAAUGACAUACCUAUUCAUUAUUGUCAAAAACUGAAUGACACUGUUGCAUCCAGUAGACCGACUCAUAUUAAAAUUAAUAUUUACGUCCAAAUAGUACGUUUUUUAAUUAGAAGUAUUUUGGACAAACCUCGACAUAAAUUCAGGUCUACUUCAGUUAAAAAAGAAAUACUYAUUUUACUUGUUUCAUCGAACACGGAACAGUUUUUAAUGAGCUUACAGUACAUCUUUCGGAUUUCGCAAAACUGAAGCACAAUUAACCACAAGCAACACAAGUCGCUUACCUGUAUUGGAAACAAUUAAAGUAAAUCCCAGUACAUAGACUACUAGAUCCAUCCAAUAACAUGGAGGCAUGCGAUGCUUCAUUUACACACGUCUCAUAGAUAAAUAUUAACGAACAACAUUCAUUCCUGCUCCAUGACUAGUUUCGUAUUAUUCCACAUUCGAUACAUUGAUUGUCGUUGAUAUCUCGCUGGAUGGCGACAUGGUUUAUACCAAUAGGUACUUUACGGAGGCUAAUACAACUCAAUUAAUUAAACUUUAUAUUAAAGUCCUAUCGAAAAAAAAAUAUUCACAAAUAGAACGAAACACGGUUCGGUAGUUCUAUGGUUGCCAUAAUCAACGGUUCACGGAGUCUGUCAGUUGAUGCAUCCGGUUUCGCUUGACUGCUGGGUAAAAAUUAUGCAAAUUAAGAAUACACAACCAGAUAUGUCUGAUAUUAAUAACAAUGUUAUUUUAAUGUUUUCAUACWGUACGACAUAAAGAGGAAUAAAAGUUAGAACAAAUUAUCAUAAAAGAUUUUAAGUAUCUUACAUGUAAUCCGAAAAAUAUGUGAAAAUAUCAUGUCUCAUGAAAAUAUCAUCGACCUCGGCAUCGAAUAGCAAAACAACUUCAGCGCGAGAUGCCGAAAUACUUAUAAAAUUUGUAAUAUGGUUCUAUCCCGGGGUUCUAUUUGCGCAAUCACGAUUAAAUCCUACUAACCUGUAAUUUUUUCUGACUAACGUAAGAUUAGGUUUUGACCAGUGACUCAUAAUAUGCUAAAUUUUUCAAGUUUUUGUGCGUAAACUUGAGAAUGGUUACUGGACAAGCUCUACUUCCAAGCUUUUUACUUUUGUUUUUUAUUUAUAAAUUCAUCGUGUGGUACAUGUUACGUAUCACCGCCUAGCGUUAGAGCGGAGUGCACGCAAGACAAUUCUACAUAGCUGUCAAGUUCCKCACGCAUCCAAUUUCUAUUCUGUAUGUACAGCGGUAAAUUCAAYAAAAAUAAAAUGGCGGCUUCUAGACAUGCAUAAUGAACACAAACGCUUCUCUGUUCCCUGUGUUUGCAUCGUUUGUUUUACGUUUUUAAAGAAAAGGACGGCAGAGACKAACUAUGUCUGGUAGAGUGGCAGUGUUGCUGUUCUUUGCAGUGACCUUUUACACAGAGUUGCCGCGUUCAAGUGCUUACAAUUGGAUAGAUCCUUCUGCUUCAGAGAUUAAAAUGACAUAUCCGAAUACAAAAUCGACGACGAUUACAUGGAAAUGGUCACUAAAAAAGACAUCGCCAAAUGACGAACGGUUAAAUCAGCUUGAAAUUAAA